GACGAACGCUGGCGGCGUGGAUUAGGCAUGCAAGUCGGACGGUAGGGCUUUAUCGUAAGAUAGAGUUUGAGAGUGGCGAACGGGUGAGUAACACGUAGGAAUCUACCCUUAAGACGGGGACAACCCAGGGAAACUUGGGCUAAUACCGGAUGAGAGUGCGAGAGAUUGCAUUUAAAAGGAUGGCGAAAGUUGUCGCUUAGGGAUGAGCCUGCGGUCUAUUAGUUAGUUGGUGAGGUAAGAGCUCACCAAGGCGAUGAUAGAUAGGCGGCCUUAACGGGUGGUCGCCCACACUGGGAUUGAGAUACGGCCCAGACUCCUACGGGAGGCAGCAGUCGAGAAUAGUCUACAAUGGCCGAAGGCUGGAUAGUGCGACGCCGCGUGAACGAGGGAGCCCUUGGGGUCGUAAAGUUCUUUUCUAUUACGAGCAGUGCUAUAUAUAUGGAUAGUAUAUAUAGAGGGAUAGUAGUAUAGGAAUAAGCAACGGCUAAACUCCGUGCCAGCAGCCGA
Molecule: ribosomal RNA, 507 nt
Filed under: uncultured bacterium
Lineage: Bacteria
Description: bacterial SSU rRNA
Rfam family: Bacterial small subunit ribosomal RNA
Source: RNAcentral